This is a long non-coding RNA of Malaclemys terrapin pileata, 903 nucleotides long. RefSeq lists it as uncharacterized. Lineage: Eukaryota; Metazoa; Chordata; Testudines; Emydidae. The record is from RefSeq and is a predicted model, not a curated record. The transcript has 3 exons.
UCGUGCUCACCAGCAAAACUCGCAACCGUGCAAAGGAACCGCGUCCCCCUUUCCACACGAGUGACACACCACCAAGAGCGCGCACAGGACUGCGGGCCACGCCGGCCCCGCAACAGAGACGUGCCAGCCGGGACACAAGAGGAUUUGAGACUAUCCGUGCAACGAGCCCCCCAGCCCAGUCACAGCGCGGCUGCCCCGCCUCUCUUCAGGACUUUUCCAGACCACCUCAGGGAAGUGAGGAUGUAGCAGAAUCUCUAGAGCCGAUUCAGUCUGGUCUGUCUGUUGAAGCUGUCAACAAGGGCACCGUCUGUGAUGUGGACACAAAUACCUAUUGUGCAGGAGCAGCAGAAUUAACCAUCACUGCAGAAAUGAAAAUCCUAUGAUUUUUGUAGACACUAUUCAAAUUUAGAUCCAUCAUUUACAAGGGUUAACUAUUGUUUUGUGUUAGUUUAAACUUGCGUGUCUGGGUCAUCCACAAACAUAUGUUCUGUCACAUGCAGAUAAGGUCAAUGAGAUGUUUUUGGUGUCAAGAGGAAAACAUCUCACAUUUCUGGAAUGACGGUGGGAAGAUUUAUAGUUUUCACUGGCUGGAAAAGAGAAGAAAGCAGAAACAUCUGCUGGAGUCAUGAGUGGAUUGUUGGCUAAGUUCAAUCAGCAGGGGAGUCUGAAAUAGAUCAUUCUGCCUUUAGCAGUGGGCGUUAGUGGAGUCAUCAAGACUAAGUACUACAGUGGAGGCCAGGACACACCUAUAGGGAAUGAAACCAUUUGAAAAAAGUAAAAUAAUCCCCCGAAAUCUGAGCAAAGGAGCCAGCAACUGAUUUUGCAUUCCUGUGCUCACACAAAUAAAUGUAUCUCUUCUUAAAGAAAAAGAGAAACACUUUUGAUUUUGAGUCUGAUAUGAUU